UCGCCUGUUUAUCAAAAACAUCUCAUCUCGAAAAAUCAAGAGAUGUAGACUCUGCUCAGUGGAAAGUUAAAUAGCCGCAGUAUUUUGACUGUGCUAAGGUAGCAUAAUAAUUUGUCUCUUAAUAAGAGGCUGGAAUGAAAGAGUUGACGCCACUAAAGCUUUUUUGAAAUAAUUUUUAAAAUUUGACAUCUUUGUCAAAAGGCAAAGUUUAAAUAAAGGGACGAUUAGACCCUAUAAAGCUUUACUAAAUACUUUUUUUUUAGUUAGGGUUUAAAAUAAUUUAUUUGGUUAAGCUGGGGCGGCACAUGCUUUUGCAGCAUAAAAAUUUAACAAUUUGUUUGACAAAUAAGAGCUAUAUAAAAUAGAGGUAGAAAAAGCUACUUUAGGGAUAACAGCAUAAUUUUUUCAUAUAGAUCUUAUAGAAGAAAAAGACUUAUGACCUCGAUGUUGAAUUGAGAAACCUUCUUCGAGUAGAAACGAAGAAUUGGGGGUCUGUUCGACCUUUAAUCUCUCACGUGAUCUGAGUUCA
This 529-nucleotide ribosomal RNA is filed under the name Paramunnopsis sp. 1 SB-2021a. RNAcentral's name for it is "partial 16S ribosomal RNA". It matches the Rfam family "Bacterial large subunit ribosomal RNA", at positions 1796 to 2613 of the family's 2925-position model. The record is from RNAcentral. Lineage: Eukaryota; Metazoa; Arthropoda; Malacostraca; Isopoda; Munnopsidae.